GCCUGCGUGGCUCAGUCAGUUAAGCGUCUGACUUUGGCUCAGGUCAUGAUCUCAUGGUUCGUGGGUUCGAGCCCCACGUCGGGCU
Molecule: transfer RNA, 85 nt
Filed under: Felis catus (domestic cat)
Lineage: Eukaryota; Metazoa; Chordata; Mammalia; Carnivora; Felidae
Rfam family: tRNA
About the family: Transfer RNA (tRNA) molecules are approximately 80 nucleotides in length. Their secondary structure includes four short double-helical elements and three loops (D, anti-codon, and T loops).
Source: Rfam by way of RNAcentral